CCCAGCCAUCGCCCUGGCUGUUCACGCUGCUUCUCCCAGGAAAGCUCUACAACCUCCUCCUAAAUUCACAAGCCCUCUCCCCACCCCUGCCCAGGUGAGCAGCUUGCCUCACAGCUGGCCACCAGGAUGUUACAAAAGGAUGCAGGAUCUUGUCCAAAGCCCUUCCCUGCACACCCCUAAUUCCAUCUUGAUGCAAGAGAGGAGGAAGACAGGAAAGAAUAAGAUGAUGGACAGCGAGACUUUGAGAUGUCUGCUGAAUUACCAAUGGGCUCUGCCAGAGAACCAGUAGACUGAUUUUUUUAAGCAGCACAUGUUUAUGCACUAAGCCCUAUGGAUAUGGGGCCUUGUCCUGAUGGAGCGUACAUCUAACAGGAGAAUAAAUUACUAGGCACACAGUGAGAGAGAGAGGCAGAGACACAGGCAGAGGGAGAAGCAGGCUCC
Long non-coding RNA from Canis lupus familiaris (dog), 441 nucleotides. RefSeq lists it as uncharacterized. Lineage: Eukaryota; Metazoa; Chordata; Mammalia; Carnivora; Canidae. The record is from RefSeq and is a predicted model, not a curated record. The transcript is spliced from 3 exons.